This 301-nucleotide ribosomal RNA is filed under the name uncultured bacterium. RNAcentral describes it as "partial 16S ribosomal RNA". It matches the Rfam family "Bacterial small subunit ribosomal RNA", at positions 509 to 807 of the family's 1533-position model. The record is from RNAcentral.
CAGCAGCCGCGGGAAUACGAAGGGGGCUAGCGUUACUCGGAAUUACUGGGCGUAAAGGGCGCGUAGGCGGCACGAUUAGUCAGGCGUGAAAUUCCUGGGCUCAACCUGGGGACUGCGCUUGAUACGGUCGAGCUAGAGGAUGGAAGAGGGUCGUGGAAUUCCCAGUGUAGAGGUGAAAUUCGUAGAUAUUGGGAGGAACAUCAGUGGCGAAGGCGGCCAUCUGGGACAACACUGACGCUGAGGCACGAAAGCGUGGGGAGCAAACAGGAUUAGAUACCCCUGUAGUCCCUGUCUCUUAUAC